CAUGCAAGUCGAACGGUGAAGCAGAGCUUGCUCUGUGGAUCAGUGGCGAAAGGGUGAGUAACACGUGAGCAACCUGCCCCUGUGUCCGGAAUAGCCUCUGGAAACGGAGAAUAAUACCGGAUGUGGAUUGAGAUCGCAUGGUCUCUUAUCUAAAGAUUUAUCGCACAGGGAUGGGCUCGCGUCCCAUUAGCUUGUUGGUGAGGUAACGGCUCACCAAGGCUUUGACGGGUAGGUGGUCUGAGAGGAUGGUCACCCACACUGGGACUGAGACACUGCCCAGACUCCUACGGGAGGCUGCAGUCGAGAAUCUUCCGCAAUGGGCGAAAGCCUGACGGAGCGAUGCCGCGUGAGGGAUGAAGGCCUUCGGGUUGUAAACCUCUGUCAGAAGGGACGAAAAAUGACGGUACCUUC
RNAcentral lists this ribosomal RNA (411 nucleotides) under uncultured Gram-positive bacterium. Its description in RNAcentral is "bacterial SSU rRNA". It matches the Rfam family "Bacterial small subunit ribosomal RNA", at positions 54 to 482 of the family's 1533-position model. The record is from RNAcentral.